Molecule: long non-coding RNA, 2173 nt
Filed under: Homo sapiens (human)
Lineage: Eukaryota; Metazoa; Chordata; Mammalia; Primates; Hominidae
Description: HSALNT0186206
Source: RNAcentral
UGUAAGAGGUAAGGAGUCUGUUCUGCUGGGGAGUUCUGCUAUCUUCCACACAUGGUUUCCAUCUUCUAAUUUAAAGCUAACCUUUGAAUGAGAGAAACUUCUGCUGAUGUCAAAUGACCACAAGGAUAUUAACAACUGGACUUGGAGCCUGUCGGCCGCUGUUGGAUACACCUCCUUUACCAAGGCGGCUUUCUUCACUACUGCCACUGACCUUGCAAACAGCUCCGACAAAGGUCGGAAUGGAUUCAUUGAUCAGCUAGACCGAGCAUAUGACAGUCUGUGCCUUAAUUGAAUCCCAAAAGGGGGCAGACUGGGUUUUUAUUACAGAGGCCAGCCGAUAGCACUCAUUAAAAGCUCCACAGACUGUGUGGUUUACUAAUUAGUUUAUUAUACAGACACCUUGACGAUGGGCAAAGUUGUCAUUUUGCCCUUUAUCGCACAGGGGAUGUUGUUAAAAGUUUAAUCAGCUAACACUGACCAAGUUAGCUUGGCAGGCUGUGGAUGGUCAUUACUGAGGUCACCCCUGCUGUAGCAAUUCUGACAGGGUCACAGCAUGAACUUACAAUAAAGAGAGUGUUACAUAAGGUAAGAGCGCACCUGAAAGGGACCCCAGAAAAGAGUUGUGCUCUGCGGGGAGUAUGAAACAGAUGGGCUGUUAGGACAAGUGAAUCCUUUUCAAGUUUACCUUCGCCUGCACUGUUUAACAUAUGCUUUCUUAAAAAGAUGAGGCAUACGACAGUCGUUUUGAUAUGUUCAUCAGAAAUAAGAUUGGGAACACGUUUUUCAUUUUGGCCAAAUAUAGGGUCACCUGAUAAAAAUGACUCUCCUGUGUUUUAUUUAAACCUUACGUAGUUCCAGAGAAGCAGAGGAGAUUAUGUUGGCCUGUUUAAACUUGCUCUAGAUAGAGCAAAGAAACAGUUACAGGCUAUUCUUAUUAUUAUUAUUUCUACUCAGAAAAUGAUUUUGAGCACUAGCCAAACCAAUAAAAAAUUAUCUAGUUUACCAACGUUGUCCCAUUUAUUCCGGGGAUUCUUUUUUCCUAAUGGGCUACUUUUUAGAAUAUAUAGUAUCUAAGAAAGAUUUUCUUCGUGUGUCUAAGGUUAUGCAGUGAGUGAAGUACAGGUAAUUUCACUUUAUGUAUUUGAAAAAGAAUCAGUAGAUGAAUGUAAUAUUAUAGUUAAAAUUUUUUGAGAAAUUCAAAAUAUAAUCUAUACAUAAAUAAAAUAUUCAUCUCUCUGUGUCAAUGUUUUGACUGCCAUGAAGAUUCUAGUCUGUGAUCUCAAUAGAUUUAGUCAUACAGUCAAUCAAUUUAAUUGUUAAGCUAGCCCAAAUAACAUUUUUCAAUCCACGAUUUCAAUUUUCUGGACAGAAACUUAGUAGAAUUGUACUUUACAAUGUAGCCAUUUAUGCAUUUUAAUAUUGAAUUUUUGCUCUAAUGGGUGAUCUACUGAGGUCAGUUUACAAAUUUAGAAAGAGGUAUCUGCAAUCUCUCUCUGUGUUGCCCUAGAAUAUUCAACUCUCUGUAAAUCUGCUUAAAUCUAAAGUUUAGACUGAGGUUAUACAAUAUAGAAAUUGUGCUAAUCCAGACCUGAUCAUUUGAAAUUGAUGCUUUUACUAGUGUGUGUAUAUAUAUAUAUACACACACGCACACACAUCUGUCUGUCUGUCAAUCUAUCUACCUACCUACCUGAGUUAUCAUAUCUAAAAUAGUACCUAAAGGCUUUUUGACAGUAAAUACAUACAGGGUAAAUGAAAUAAGAAUGUGCUCAAACUAUGUAUUUAUUUUUGAAACAACAAAGUUUUAUUUUGACUAUGUCAUGAAAAAGAAUAUGCAACCCUGAACAUCAUCAUUUACCCUGGAGAUUAAAAUAUAUUUUAAUAUAUUUGAGAUCAUAUUGAAGGUUUUAUGAAAAGUGAAGAAAUACUCUGCAUUGCAUUCAAACUGCAGCAGAAAUUUUAGUAAGCAUUGUGUAUUUUCCAGGUUGGAACUGAUCCAGGAAUCUAAACCUAAUAUUGAGGCUAACUGUAGGGUUUGUAAAAAGGAGGCAUCCUCAGGGGUUCACACUGGUGGUUCUGAGGAAGCUUCCUGUGAAGACAGAUUGUGCCCUCAAGUCCACACAGGCAAAUGCUUCAUCAUUAACUCACUUUGGAAAAAUAAAUAAACUAUUUUAAC